This 253-nucleotide ribosomal RNA is filed under the name uncultured bacterium. RNAcentral describes it as "partial 16S ribosomal RNA". It matches the Rfam family "Bacterial small subunit ribosomal RNA", at positions 524 to 776 of the family's 1533-position model. The record is from RNAcentral.
UACGGAGGGUGCAAGCAUUAAUCGGAUUUAUUGGGCGUAAAGGGCGCGUAGGCGGGCAUGUAAGUCAGAUGUGAAAUUCCGGAGCUCAACUCCGGAACUGCAUUUGAAACUGUGUGUCUAGAGGGUAGGGGGAGAAAAUAGAAUUCCACAAGUAGCGGUGAAAUGCGUAGAUAUCUGGAGGAACACCGGUGGCGAAGGCGGCAUCCUGGACCGGUAUUGACGCUGAGGCGCGAAAGCUAGGGGAGCAAACGGG